UACGUAGGGGGCAAGCGUUGUCCGGAUUUAUUGGGCGUAAAAGGCUUGUAGGUGGCCACGCCAAGUCGGAUGUGAAAUCUCCCGGCUCAACUGGGAGGGGUCAUUCGAUACUGGCGGGCUCGAGGCCGGUAGGGGGAAGUGGAAUUCCCGGUGUAGUGGUGGAAUGCGUAGAUAUCUGGAGGAACACCGGUGGCGAAGGCGGCAUCCUGGACCGGCAUUGACGCUGAGGCGCGAAAGCCAGGGGAGCAAACGGG
RNAcentral lists this ribosomal RNA (254 nucleotides) under uncultured bacterium. Its description in RNAcentral is "partial 16S ribosomal RNA". It matches the Rfam family "Bacterial small subunit ribosomal RNA", at positions 524 to 776 of the family's 1533-position model. The record is from RNAcentral.